UGGGGAAUAUUGGACAAUGGGCGAAAGCCUGAUCCAGCCAUGCCGCGUGUGUGAAGAAGGUCUUCGGAUUGUAAAGCACUUUAAGUUGGGAGGAAGGGCAGUUACCUAAUACGUGAUUGUUUUGACGUUACCGACAGAAUAAGCACCGGC
This 150-nucleotide ribosomal RNA is filed under the name uncultured eubacterium ZII-3. RNAcentral describes it as "partial 16S ribosomal RNA". It matches the Rfam family "Bacterial small subunit ribosomal RNA", at positions 355 to 497 of the family's 1533-position model. RNAcentral also lists the same sequence under 1 other name. The record is from RNAcentral.